RNAcentral lists this ribosomal RNA (250 nucleotides) under uncultured bacterium. Its description in RNAcentral is "partial 16S ribosomal RNA". It matches the Rfam family "Bacterial small subunit ribosomal RNA", at positions 524 to 773 of the family's 1533-position model. The record is from RNAcentral.
UACGGAGGAUGCGAGCGUUAUCCGGAUUUAUUGGGUUUAAAGGGUGCGUAGGCGGGAAAUUAAGUCAGCGGUGAAAGUUUGGGGCUCAACCUUAAAAUUGCCGUUGAAACUGGUUUUCUUGAGUGUAGAUGAAGUAGGCGGAAUUAGUGGUGUAGCGGUGAAAUGCAUAGAUAUCACUAGGAACUCCGAUUGCGAAGGCAGCUUACUAAGGUACCACUGACGCUGAUGCACGAAAGUGUGGGUAUCAAAC